CUUGAUCUUGCCAUGUGAUCGUGUUUCUAUAACACUGACAACAAAUGGUGAUUACUGUAGAUGUUUCGACAAGUGAAUGGAAUAACAGAAGACAAGUCAGCCAUCUUGGAAGGAGAAUAAUGCAUUAUGGGACAGGAAGUAGAAAUUUAACAGCCUGUUAAGGAUUUAACACUGGCGUUAUGGACUUAACGCUGACGUAAUUUAACGGCAGCGUUAAGUCUCUUUAAGCAACAGGAUUUUAACGGAGCGUUAUCUUACGCUCCGUUAAGGAUUUAACGGACUAUUAAGAGGAGAAGAAGUUCAUUUUGGUAUGAGGACUGGCGACCAAAAGUCAGUAGAGGACCAAAGAAGCCAGUAGGCCCAAAACUGCUGGCAGAAAAGACGCAAACAUGUUGUUUAUGCACAGAACCUCAUGAUGAAAGAAAAUACUGGGAGUGUGAUAUAUGUUGUUCGAGGUUACAUCCUGGGUACAUUGGCCGUGAUCAAGAUGAAACACCUGCAGAUAGCUCCACCGCCUUCUGGUGUGAGGCAUGUCUGAUGCAUGCUGGGUACAGUCGUUAUGGCUGAUAAUCCAUGCACAGGGAACAAAAAGUCAAACUCGAUGGCUGCAGAGACAUGAGGCAUUCCUGAGGUGUAGAAAUAUGCCUUACAGUCGGUAUUAUGGAGCAAAUGUGUUCUCAUGUGAUGCACAGAUAAUUUUAAGAAGAAACCUUGACAGAAUUUUCUUGAAGAAAAAGUAAUUGGCAGAGUGUUACGUGUCAAAAGUGUUGCAGAAGGAAGCAAUGAUUGCCAUUCUGCAUAUGCACUCUGCUGUCGGUAAUUAGGAGGCGGAUUCAAGACUGAAGGAGGCAGGGAGUACCAGUAACAGGGCAAUGUUUGCUGGGUUAUUGUAAAUGAGGCCAUGGAGUGUGAUGGCAAUACUUAAUAUUUUAUCACAAUUUUAAGUGAUUUUUUGUUGAUAACAGACAGCCAUUAAGAUGUAAUUCAUUGUCAUUGUGUACAACUAUGUACCAAGUAUUUAUAUCAGGAUAAACACCGGGGAAAUACCGGAUUAAAUUUUAGCAUUUGAACACAUGUGUCAUAGCGAAACUUCUCAGUUAUAUCGCAUUUUCUGUUUUGUCAUUGUAUAGUUGAUGAGACCAUAAGUAAUAAAAUACACUGUUAAAUUUCACACUGAAAGUAAGGUAUGAAUGUGUCUAUUAAUGUGUCACCAGUAAAACUUGCUUUGUAGACAUCCACAUCACCUGUGAUAGUUUGUUCACUUAUGACUUAUUUACAAGUAUUGAAGUAUAUAUGAUUGGAUGAAAAAGAUGAAUAAAUGCAUGCUUUUAAUAUUUUGUCUAUGUGUGCUAUUUUUCUAUGGCAAUGAACUUAUAUAUAACUUGACUAGUCCAAUCUAAAAUUUGCUUAUUUCAUUUUUCGUGGUAACUGCUAAAAUAAGGUUUAAUUUUACCUAAUGAUUGGUCAAAAGUACAUGCUCAAUUAAACAGACAUUUACUGAAAAAAAUGUAAAAAAUAAAACUAAUAAAUGAAUUAUUUUUUAUAUUUCAGCAAACCAUGUGAUUACUUAUGUGAUUGGGACAUACUAGUCGAUUGUCAAGGACGACACAACAGGCCAUUAUCAUGGGCGGCACACCAGGCUCUGUUCUUUUUUUGUACAUAUUGCUAAUCAGGCUACAUUAGAGCAAUGUACAGUUUAUCACAAAAAGCAAAUCGACUUCGUUAAUUAUAGACUUACACAAUGAAAUCUUUAAUAAACUAUGAAACCAAUAUACCCUUUAUGGAGCUGAAAUUUUGGACUAUGGAAAGAACGAUGUUUUUGAAAGAGUUCAACUUCGAUUCGAAGUUUUUUUUUUAUUUUAGCUAGUUUUGUAAUGCAUCCUUUCGUAAUGAUAUUUGAGAUUAUGGGUCUUUACUAUAAUGUCUACGUAAAACAAUAAUACAACAUGCAUAUGAUGUGAAAUUUAAUUAUUUUACAAAAUGUACUACUAAUGCAACAUCUAGUCUAACAUCAACAAAGUUAGUUUUCUCAAUACUGAUUAGUAAGAACAUGAUCGAUUAUUUAAAAUCUCUUUUUAUUCAUACUGUUGUGAAUUCAUUAUCAGAUCGUAUCUUGUGUAAAUCUUUAGAGAAUGACGGCAAAAAAGAUACUAAGUUCAACUUAAAAUAUUUGAGAACCUUUGAUAAUUAAAUGAGUAACUGAAAUAUCAGUAAUGUUUCUGAAAAUAUUACAGAUGUUUAUUGACUCUGCGGCCUUCACACUCGUAUCCAUGAUUUUAUUGCUUCUAUACAAACGUGUAUGGUAGGUAUAAUCAAUUCACGCAUGUUAAAAAUUUCCACUCAAUUUCAAUGGAAGCAGUACUAUUUUCCCAUAUCGAUUUUUUGUUUACAUUGUAAUAUGUAGCUUGUAAUCAAAUGCGAUACUUUGAUAUGUACGAAAUCGUUUAUUUACAUGUAUUUAUAAGGAUAACUUUUGUAAAGAUUAUAUUGAACUCGUUAAGGUUAUGAAUUAUUUCCUCUUCAUAAGAGUGCAUUUUUCAACAUGCAUGUCUAA
Mya arenaria is the source of this 2554-nucleotide long non-coding RNA. RefSeq lists it as uncharacterized. The transcript is spliced from 9 exons. The record is from RefSeq and is a predicted model, not a curated record. Lineage: Eukaryota; Metazoa; Mollusca; Bivalvia; Myida; Myidae.